Transfer RNA from Alternaria alternata, 83 nucleotides. It matches the Rfam family "tRNA". Rfam says of the family: Transfer RNA (tRNA) molecules are approximately 80 nucleotides in length. Their secondary structure includes four short double-helical elements and three loops (D, anti-codon, and T loops). The record is from Rfam. NCBI's taxonomy places the organism in Eukaryota, Fungi, Ascomycota, Dothideomycetes, Pleosporales, Pleosporaceae.
GGCCUAAUGGCCCAAUGGCAAGGCGCUUGACUACGACUCAGUUCGAUAUCAAGAGAUUCCAGGUUCGACCCCUGGUUAGGUCA